AGGUGGCCAUUCAUGAAAGCUGGGUUACACAAUCACAAGUUUGCUUUGCUAAUAUUUGUCCGUGAUAAGUUGAUUAAUUAGUCGGUCCACUACCCUAUUGGCCCUAGAAUGUUGCUGUUGUGACCUCUUUACUUUUAAGGAAGAUUUGUUUCUUUUGCAUGACUCUAAAUUCUGUGAACAUAAACAAAACAAACUGGGUUCGCUUCUUCAUGCAGUCCUGGCUCUUCAAGAUCUUUACACCUCUCUGAACAGACCACCCCAACCGAAGGGAUGGAGACUGGGUGAUGCGGACCUAUGUGAAGAAUCAUGGACAGGAGUUUCGUGUUUUGGAUCAUCGGUCAUACACAUUGAACUACAUGGGCUGGAGCUUACUGGAAAUCUAGGUUUCCACCUCACCAACCUCCUUAGUCUAAAACAACUGUAUGGAUUCCUGUAAAAUCUUCCAUUAAUGAAAGUACUAAAGGGUUAAUCAUAUGUAAUAUAUGUAUCUCAUAUGCUUCUUUAUAUUAGGGAUGCUAGCUAGCUCCAAUAACAUUAGCGGCGAAAUUCCAUCCAACCUACCUUUUAAUGCCACACACAUGUAAGAUAUCUGUUUUCAACGAAGUGUAUUGUACUGCAUGCAGUUAACUUCAAUUCAAUGUGAUUGAUUUGCAUUAUGUUUUUUUUCUCUUUCCAUCCUUUUUCUUUUCAUGUACUGGUUCUGUAAAUGCAGAAAUUUGGCUUGAACAACUUUACAGCAAAUAUUCCAUCCACCUUGACGACCUCCAUGAGGAAUCUUCAUCAUCUGUGAGUUGUUUAUCCAAUGAUUGCCUAAUUUGCCAGUUUUAUUUCGAUCAUCCUUAGUGAUAAGUAUAAAGUAACCUCCCAAGGUCAGCCUAGACCAAAAAGCCUAGCUCAACACGAAGGGCCAUGUAGGGGACCUAGUGGCAUGGAGCUUAGCUUGAAGAACUGAGCUCAGUAGGACCAACCCAAGGGCAAAGGUCAUCCCAAGGUCAGCCCAAACUAAAGAGCUCAUGAGCACAGCCCUAAGGGCUCAAGCUAGAGUCCCAAUUAAGAACAUGGAAUCUAGCUUAUAAUAGCUAGCCUCUAUUAAACCAGUCCAAGGACGGAAGCCUGCUCACGAGCAUAGCUCAUAGAAAGAUACCGAGCUCAGCUCACCAGGUGAGCUCAGCAAAUAUGACAAACCUGCAGCCAGACUUAUGAGACACUCCAUGCAAGAGGUUCAUACAGUCUAAAGGACUCAGAGAAAUCGGACUCUUAUUCCCUUUCUAGAAUAUCCAAGGCCUUAUCUCAUCCCAAGGAAUAACCGUGAGAAACCCAUGCACGAAGGGAACUCAGAGAGCAGCUACAGCCUUAUCUCCUCAGAAGAGGUCAAGCCACAGUCCAUAAAGGAUAACCACAGAGUCCAAAGGAGAGGAGAACUCCUAAACCUGAUAAGGACUAAUGAAGUCCUAGGUAAGGAGGAUACUUCAUCACCAACCUAUUCCCGUCAUAUACGGAUAAGCCUAACCUUGAUGACAAUCAAAGAGUCCAGAGGUGAAGGGACUCCUCAAACCUGAUAAAGGUCAGGGGAGUCCUAAGGUAAGGAGGACACUCCAACACCUAUCUAUACCUGCCACGAGUGAAUGAGACUUAAAAGUCUCGGUCCCAAGGGAUUCCUCCCAAGAUGCCUAUAUAAAGAUCACACCUCCACCUCACACAGGUACGCAAUGCAAAACUCAUACUCAGUCCAUUCUCUAUAUAUCUCGAUUGACUUAGGCAUCGGAGGGGCAAUGGCGAUAGCCACGCCGGUGCCCAUAGUUUACCGUGUCUGUUUUAUAGGUCGUUAAUCGAGCACGCCGGAAGCCGUUUCAUCCGCUGAAGGACUAGGUGGACGGUUGAGGAUAUCCCCUCCUCCGGAGGUGACUAAAAACCGCCUCAUCAUUUAGUAACAAAUGUUUUGUUGCAGGAAUUUGUGCCACAACUCAUUAUCUGGGCCCAUAGGAAAUGUAUUUGAUGGGCUUCUGAAUCUAAGAGAAAUGUAUGAGGAAACACUUUUAGAGAGACGGGAGAGAAACAAUAUGGAUUUCUAGAUGUCUCAUCCUCAAGUCGAUUGCUUGACAAGUGGAGUAGACUACGACGCAUCGUACAAACAACUAUACAUCUUGUGUUCAAUCUCUCUUCCCUUCUCUUUACUUUACACAUUUAAAAUUCUUAUCUUGCUUAUUGUUUUUAUAUAGAUGUUUAUCUAGUAACUUUUAAUUGACCAUUAUUGUUAGCAAAACUAUUCACCUCCUUCAUCAUUUCAGGCUAAAUGAUGACCCUUAGCUGAGAAGGCCAAAUUUGGCUUGUUUAUGUGAGCGCACUGGUCACUAUUUACUGAAGUGGCUGAAUGUUUUUGGAGAUGUAACCAUACUCCUGCACUAUCUUUUUUCAAUGUUUGCUUCUUUUCCGUUCUCAGCGUCUGAGAGGAUGGUUUCAAUAAAAUGCUUUCUUAUUUUUGUUAAUACCUUGGUAUGGGUUGUUAUCUUCCAGUUUGAGAUCAGCACUUUCGCGAAGGGUAUGGACAGGUCUUGGUCAAGAAUUUUCUGAAAAUGUGGGAGUGAUGUUAGUAGUUAUGUUGGAAUGCUGUAAACAAUAUUGCUAGUUCUUGGCACAAUUCGAUGAAGCUCCCAUUCCA
Molecule: long non-coding RNA, 2659 nt
Organism: Rhododendron vialii
Lineage: Eukaryota; Viridiplantae; Streptophyta; Magnoliopsida; Ericales; Ericaceae
Exons: 2
Source: RefSeq, a predicted model, not a curated record